UUCGCUAUUAGCCAUGCAUGUGUAAAUUACAAGCCAAAUUUAAGGUGAAACCGCGGAAGGCUCCAUUAUAUCAGUUAUUGGUUCAUUGGAUUGUACCCAGUUACUUGGAUAACUGCGGAAAUACUGGAGCUAAUACAUGCCAACGGAGUUCUGACCGGAGACGGAAGGAACGCUUUUAUUAGAUCAAAACCGAUCGGUGGCUUGCUGCCGUGACUUAUGGUGACUCUGAAUAACUUUGGGCUGAUCGCACGGCCUUGUGCCGGCGACGCAUCUUUCAAAUGUCUGCCUUAUCAACUUUCGAUGGUAGGUUCUGUGCCUACCAUGGUUGUUACGGGUAACGGGGAAUCAGGGUUCGAUUCCGGAGAGGGAGCCUGAGACACGGCUACCACAUCCAAGGAAGGCAGCAGGCGCGCAAAUUACCCACUCCCGGCACGGGGAGGUAGUGACGAAAGAUAACGAUACGGGACUCAUCCGAGGCCCCGUAAUCGGAAUGGCAACACUUUAAAUCCUUUAUGGAGGACCAAACUGAGGGCAAGUCUGGUGCCAGCAGCCGCGGUAAUUCCAGCUCAGUUAGCGUAUUUCAAAGUUGUUGCGGUUAAAAAGCUCGUAGUUGGAUCUGUGUCUCGCACCGCCGGUUCACCGCCCGUCGGUGUUCAACUGGCGCGAUGCGAAACGUCCUGUCGGUGGCGUGUCUAGCUGGCCCUUCGGGGUUGGGCGGCGCCGAUCAGAUCCCGUCGCGGUGCUCUUUACUGAGUGUCGAGGUGGGCCGACACAUUUACUUUGAACAAAUUAGAGUGCUCAAAGCAGGCUCAUGAUUGCCUGAAUAUAUCUGCAUGGAAUAAUAGAAUAGGACUUCGGUUCUAUUUUGUUGGUUUUCGGAACCAGAAGUAAUGAUUAAUGGAGACAGGCGGGGGCAUUCGUAUUGCAACGUUAGAGUGAUCUUGUG
RNAcentral lists this ribosomal RNA (946 nucleotides) under Thrips parvispinus. RNAcentral's name for it is "SSU rRNA". It matches the Rfam family "Eukaryotic small subunit ribosomal RNA", at positions 36 to 923 of the family's 1831-position model. The record is from RNAcentral. Lineage: Eukaryota; Metazoa; Arthropoda; Insecta; Thysanoptera; Thripidae.